CCUGUCAUGCUCAUUUAUUUAAUCAAAAUAAGACACUUUUGCAUAAUUCGCAACGGAUACAAAAUAACAACAUUCAAAUCAUGUACUACAUUACAUGUAAAGUUGUUCAACAACCAAAAGAAAACAUAGUAAAACAUCCCAUCCCGAUGUUACAUCUACCAGAGCAUGACCCACUAAGGACUACACUAGACUCCCAGGACUAGCUUCUACUCAAUCACUGCUCGUUACCUG
This 231-nucleotide long non-coding RNA is filed under the name Lathyrus oleraceus (garden pea). RNAcentral describes it as "Pisum sativum (pea) long non-coding RNA (PSAT_LNC036486)". The record is from RNAcentral. Lineage: Eukaryota; Viridiplantae; Streptophyta; Magnoliopsida; Fabales; Fabaceae.